Molecule: long non-coding RNA, 683 nt
Organism: Solanum tuberosum (potato)
Lineage: Eukaryota; Viridiplantae; Streptophyta; Magnoliopsida; Solanales; Solanaceae
Exons: 2
Source: RefSeq, a predicted model, not a curated record
AAUGAUAAUAUUUUGUUAAAAGUUGUCACUAUCUGAAAAGCUUAAGUAAUCAUGAGUGAUAAUGUUGACAUGAUGUGAAGUUGAGGAAUAAAUUGGCACCUAAUUUAGCACAAAAAUGCAGACAAAUACCACUACCUUUUUGUGAGUCUGCACCAUAAGGAAUAAAGAAUUUUGGUUAAGGUUGAGUAAGCUCUAGAAUUGCUAUUGGACAAUGAUUUAUAAAAGCCAUUUGGCAUGUUUCAUGAGGCUAUUGAUUGACUUUUCAUGAGCAAAGAUGGUUGACCUUGGUAAAAGUUACAAGUAGAAGAACUUGUUAGUUACCCUAAAAUUUCCUAGCAAUUCUAAAUCUGUUUGGUUAUUAUAAAUUGAUUGAACAGAACAUGUUACCACGAUCGAAUUAAGGAUGUGUUUGGUCAUUGUUGCAGAAGUUGGGGGCUCCAACACACCUUCAGGGAGCAGAAUAGUCUUGUUGACAGGCUGGCGCAAGAAGGAUCGAAACAAGAAGUUUUUGGCACUCCCUCUAUCCUCAUAGCUUCUUCAACGUAUGCUCAUGAGGAAUCUGAAGCAGAUAACCUAGGAACUACAUAUGCUAGGCAGGUCCCUUCUGUUAAUUAGCCCAUAACUCUACUAUUGUGUAUCCGCUGACAAGAGGAUCCUUAAAACCCAAAAAAAAAAAAAAAAAA